GAUGAACGCUGGCGGCGUGCCUAAUACAUGCAAGUCGAGCGAACAGACGAGGAGCUUGCUCCUCUGACGUUAGCGGCGGACGGGUGAGUAACACGUGGAUAACCUACCUAUAAGACUGGGAUAACUUCGGGAAACCGGAGCUAAUACCGGAUAAUAUAUUGAACCGCAUGGUUCAAUAGUGAAAGACGGUUUUGCUGUCACUUAUAGAUGGAUCCGCGCCGCAUUAGCUAGUUGGUAAGGUAACGGCUUACCAAGGCAACGAUGCGUAGCCGACCUGAGAGGGUGAUCGGCCACACUGGAACUGAGACACGGUCCAGACUCCUACGGGAGGCAGCAGUAGGGAAUCUUCCGCAAUGGGCGAAAGCCUGACGGAGCAACGCCGCGUGAGUGAUGAAGGUCUUCGGAUCGUAAAGCUCUGUUAUUCGGGAAGAACAAAUGUGUAAGUAAAUAUGCACGUCUUGACGGUACCUAAUCAGAAAGCAACGGCUAACUACGUG
This 497-nucleotide ribosomal RNA is filed under the name uncultured bacterium. RNAcentral describes it as "partial 16S ribosomal RNA". It matches the Rfam family "Bacterial small subunit ribosomal RNA", at positions 28 to 507 of the family's 1533-position model. The record is from RNAcentral.